This 253-nucleotide ribosomal RNA is filed under the name uncultured prokaryote. RNAcentral describes it as "partial 16S ribosomal RNA". It matches the Rfam family "Bacterial small subunit ribosomal RNA", at positions 524 to 776 of the family's 1533-position model. The record is from RNAcentral.
GGCGGAGGGUGCAAGCGUUGUCCGGAAUCAUUGGGCGUAAAGCGCGUGUAGGCGGCUCGAUAAGUCUGCUGUGAAAGUCCAGGGCUCAACCCUGGAAUGCCGGUGGAAACUGUCGAGCUAGAGUACGGAAGAGGUGAGUGGAAUUCCUGGUGUAGCGGUGAAAUGCGCAGAUAUCAGGAGGAACACCAAUGGCGAAGGCAGCUCACUGGGACGUUACUGACGCUGAGACGCGAAAGCGUGGGGAGCAAACAGG